UUGAAGAAUCCAUAUUCAGACAGUAGUUC
This 29-nucleotide non-coding RNA is filed under the name Rattus norvegicus (Norway rat). The record is from RNAcentral. Lineage: Eukaryota; Metazoa; Chordata; Mammalia; Rodentia; Muridae.